AAGGUUUUAAGUUAAUAAAACUAUUUUCCUUCAAAGUUAAAAUUAUAAGUAUGUUUAUAAACCUUA
This 66-nucleotide transfer RNA is filed under the name Auritibicen bihamatus. RNAcentral describes it as "tRNA-Trp". Lineage: Eukaryota; Metazoa; Arthropoda; Insecta; Hemiptera; Cicadidae. The record is from RNAcentral.